Molecule: ribosomal RNA, 329 nt
Filed under: uncultured eukaryote
Lineage: Eukaryota
Description: partial 18S ribosomal RNA
Rfam family: Eukaryotic small subunit ribosomal RNA
Source: RNAcentral
CCCUUAGAUGUUCUGGGCCGCACGCGCGCUUCAAUGAUGAAUUCAACGAGUUUAUAACCUUGGUUGAAAAGCCUGGGUAAUCUUUUGAACUUUCGUCGUGAUGGGGCUAGACCCUUGCAAUUAUUGGUCUCCAACGAGGAAUUCCUAGUAAACGCAAGUCAUCAGCUUGCAUUGAUUACGUCCCUGCCCUUUGUACACACCGCCCGUCGCACCUACCGAUUGAAUGGUCCGGUGAAAUCUUCGGAUUGAGACUUUGAUUUCUUCACGGAAAACGCUGUUUUAAAAAGUUGAUUAAACCUUACCAUUUAGAGGAAGGUGAAGUCGUAACA